RNAcentral lists this ribosomal RNA (252 nucleotides) under uncultured bacterium. RNAcentral describes it as "partial 16S ribosomal RNA". It matches the Rfam family "Bacterial small subunit ribosomal RNA", at positions 525 to 776 of the family's 1533-position model. The record is from RNAcentral.
ACGUAGGGUGCAAGCGUUGUCCGGAAUUAUUGGGCGUAAAGAGCUCGUAGGCGGUCUGUCGCGUCGGCUGUGAAAACUCGGGGCUCAACCCCGAGCCUGCAGUCGAUACGGGCAGACUAGAGUGCUGUAGGGGAGACUGGAAUUCCUGGUGUAGCGGUGAAAUGCGCAGAUAUCAGGAGGAACACCGGUGGCGAAGGCGGGUCUCUGGGCAGUAACUGACGCUGAGGAGCGAAAGCGUGGGGAGCAAACAGG